GCGCUCGUAGCUCAACUGGAUAGAGCGACAGACUUCGGAUCUGUAGGUUAUGGGUUCGAUUCCUAUCGGGCGUA
Molecule: transfer RNA, 74 nt
Filed under: Campylobacter subantarcticus LMG 24374
Lineage: Bacteria; Pseudomonadati; Campylobacterota; Epsilonproteobacteria; Campylobacterales; Campylobacteraceae
Description: tRNA-Arg
Rfam family: tRNA
About the family: Transfer RNA (tRNA) molecules are approximately 80 nucleotides in length. Their secondary structure includes four short double-helical elements and three loops (D, anti-codon, and T loops).
Source: RNAcentral